AUGGUCUUGCCUUGGCUGAGCACCCGCCCGAAGGCAUUGGUGAAUAUUGGGUGUUUUAUGGAUGAUAUGUGGGGCUUUAUCAAUAGAGAUGAAUUUGAACAGAUCAGUACAGCACUACUAGAAUGUGUGAAAGGGCCAUUGGAGAAGGCCUUGGCAAAAGCUCGCUUGACAGUAGAACGAGCCUUGAAAGGACUAUAA
This 198-nucleotide ribosomal RNA is filed under the name Triticum aestivum (bread wheat). RNAcentral describes it as "partial small subunit ribosomal RNA". The record is from RNAcentral. Lineage: Eukaryota; Viridiplantae; Streptophyta; Magnoliopsida; Poales; Poaceae.